AGCUUCGAGGUGUCAACACGUCAGAUUGCAAAUCUGAAGAUGUAGACUAUCGUCUACCGGGGCUU
This 65-nucleotide transfer RNA is filed under the name Melanocetus johnsonii (humpback anglerfish). Its description in RNAcentral is "tRNA-Cys". Lineage: Eukaryota; Metazoa; Chordata; Actinopteri; Lophiiformes; Melanocetidae. The record is from RNAcentral.